AAUGAACGUUAGCGGCGCGCCUGAUGCAUGCAAGUCGUACGGUUCCGGCGCAAGUCGGAAUAGUGGCAAACGGCUGAGUAACACGUAAGUAACCUGCCUCUAAGUGUGGGAUAACCUGCCGAAAGGCAAGCUAAUACCGCAUGUGCUGUACAGUUUAUUCUUUACAGUAAAGUUUCGGCGCUUAGAGAAGGGCUUGCGUCUGAUUAGCUAGUUGGUGUAGGUAACGGCCCACCAAGGCAAUGAUCAGUAGCUGGUCUAAGAGGACGACCAGCCAGACAGGGACUGAGACACGGCCCUGACUCCUACGGGAGGCAG
Molecule: ribosomal RNA, 315 nt
Filed under: uncultured Chloroflexota bacterium
Lineage: Bacteria; Bacillati; Chloroflexota
Description: bacterial SSU rRNA
Rfam family: Bacterial small subunit ribosomal RNA
Source: RNAcentral